This 519-nucleotide ribosomal RNA is filed under the name uncultured eukaryote. RNAcentral describes it as "SSU rRNA". It matches the Rfam family "Eukaryotic small subunit ribosomal RNA", at positions 1161 to 1707 of the family's 1831-position model. The record is from RNAcentral.
AGGGCACCACCAGGAGUGGAGCCUGCGGCUUAAUCUGACUCAACACGGGAAAACUUACCUGGUCCUGACACUAGAAGGAUUGACAGAUUGAUAGCUCUUUCUUGAUUUGGUGGAUGGUGGUGCAUGGCCGUUCUUAGUUGGUGGAGUGAUUUGUCUGGUUAAUUCCGAUAACGAACGAGACUCUAACCUAUUAAAUAACACACAGAAUCUUGUCUUCUGUGGCGUUUCUUAAUGGGAUCAAGUGUGUUUAACGCUUUGAAACAGAGCAAUAACAGGUCUGUGAUGCCCUUAGAUGUUCGGGGCCGCACGCGCGCUACAUUGAGAGACAAAAUGAGUUUUCCAGCCUUUAAUAAGGCUAGUAAUCUUUGAAUGUUUUUCUUAAUGGGGAUAGGGGAUUGCAAUUGUGCCCCUUGAACGAGGAAUUCCCAGUAAGUGCUAGUCAUUAGCUAGUACUGAUUACGUCCCUGCCCUUUGUACACACCGCCCGUCGCUACUACCGAUUGAAUGGUUUAGUGAGAU